GCAUUGUUGAAGAGUUCUAUACAAGAAUGAAACAUCUGUCCAGUGCGAUUUGAUUUUCAAUGAUUUCUCACAAUAGGACGAAACGGCCGUCCAGUGC
This 97-nucleotide non-coding RNA is filed under the name Schistosoma curassoni. The record is from RNAcentral. Lineage: Eukaryota; Metazoa; Platyhelminthes; Trematoda; Strigeidida; Schistosomatidae.